This 176-nucleotide ribosomal RNA is filed under the name Ravenelia sp. ME-2015. RNAcentral's name for it is "partial 28S ribosomal RNA". It matches the Rfam family "Eukaryotic large subunit ribosomal RNA", at positions 1 to 174 of the family's 3401-position model. Lineage: Eukaryota; Fungi; Basidiomycota; Pucciniomycetes; Pucciniales; Raveneliaceae. The record is from RNAcentral.
AGACCUCAAAUCAGGUGGGAUUACCCGCUGAACUUAAGCAUAUCAAUAAGCGGAGGAAAAGAAACUAACCAGGAUUCCCCCAGUAACGGCGAGUGAAGAGGGAAGAGCCCAAAUUUGUAAUCAGUCUUCCUUUGGGAGUCUGAGUUGUAAUUUUGAGAACUGUUUUCUGUGCUGGA